Molecule: non-coding RNA, 33 nt
Organism: Halalkalibacillus halophilus DSM 18494
Lineage: Bacteria; Bacillati; Bacillota; Bacilli; Caryophanales; Bacillaceae
Source: Rfam
CUCUGUCUCAAAAUGAUUCAGGGCAAGGAGGAG